GCCUACGACCAUAUCACCCUGAAUGCGCCCGAUCUCGUCUGAUCUCGGAAGCUAAGCAUGGUCGAGCCUGAUUAGUACUUGGAUGGGAGACUCCCUGGGAAUACUAGGUGUUGUAGGCU
Molecule: ribosomal RNA, 119 nt
Organism: Petromyzon marinus (sea lamprey)
Lineage: Eukaryota; Metazoa; Chordata; Hyperoartia; Petromyzontiformes; Petromyzontidae
Source: Ensembl